Molecule: long non-coding RNA, 1568 nt
Filed under: Sparus aurata (gilthead seabream)
Lineage: Eukaryota; Metazoa; Chordata; Actinopteri; Spariformes; Sparidae
Description: lncRNA (ENSSAUG00010001985.1)
Source: RNAcentral
AGCCUUGAAGUCCGUGAGCUCGAUGGAGUCGGCGUUCGGUAUUACGCCGGAGCUGCUUAAGGCCAAAGAGGAGGAGGAGAUGAACGUGGCGUUGGUGGAGAUCCAGCUGAGAGACGAGGACAGCUUCCCCGCCCUCGGCGCUCAGUCCGGCCUGCAGGGAGACGGAGGGAAGAAGAAAGGAGGAGAGAAGAGAAGAUCUCAGAGGAACAAGACGGUACGUUCAUAAUCAUCCCCUCCACCUGGGAGGUCCUGUUGUCACCUGUGGCUCACACCACAGCUGUUGACACCUGAUGGAGGACAGACCACACACCUGUAGUGUCGGUCCAGGUGAGGGAGCAGAUCAGGAACGCUCUCACAAUAAGUCAUUGAAACAAGUCAGACGUGUCACUCGGGUCGACUGCAGGUCGGUUCAGUUGACGGUGAGUGUGAUGUCAUCAGUGAUGUCAUCAGUGAUGUGUUCAGGGACCUUCAUGAGAGUCAUUCCUUCAGAGGGUCUGUAGAAGUGAGCGUUAAAAGACUGACUAUUGGCAGGAUGUGAUGUUGUGUGAUGUUGUGUGAUGUUGUGUGAUGUUGUGUGAUGUUGUGUGAUGUUGUGUGUUGUGUGAUGUUGUGUGAUGUCACACUGAACAAUCCUUUCAUCUCGACACUAACUGUUUCCUCUGUGUUUCACAGAAGAGUCCGGUGGAGGACGUCAGAGCACCGUCGCCCUCUGCUGGAGAAAGACCCAAAUCCUCCACCCCCCCACCUGCAGACGCUGCUGCUGCUGCACCUCCCACCAACACUACUACACCCUCCAACCCCACCCCUCCUGCUGCUGCUCCACCUGUAACCUCCCACUCCAGUCCUGCCUGUCCGAGCUCGCUCAAGGCCUCAGCGCCCAACACAAAUAUGUCCGCUGCUACCACCACCACCCGCACCACCACCACCACCACCACUGCUGCUCCUGCUGCUCCUGCUGCUGCUCCAUCCUGUGCUGCCCCGACUAAAACAAGCACAUCCUCCUCAGCAGCUGGAGCUCCACUCGGUUCUCCUCCUGCUGCUGCCCCGAGCUCUAAGCCUCCUGUGAAAGGAGGAGCUGUUCCUCCCUCCGUCCCCUCCUCCGCCUGUCUCUUCUCCUUCCUCUUCCCUCCCUCCCUCCCCGCUGCUUCAUCACCCCCCACCCCUGGCGUCCUCUCCUCACCCUCUCCUCCUGCCUCGUCGUCUGCCUCACCUCCUCCGUCUUCUUCACUUCCACCUCCCACUUUCAUCGCUCCCAUCGCUCCCUCUCCUGCCGAGGCUCAGGGCAUCCUCCCCCGCUCCUCCCCACCCGUGUCUGCUCUCCGUCACUCCCCCAGUCCACCCACCACCUCCUCCUCCACCCACCUCCACCUCCCAGCUCCGUCAGGCUGCUCCCGACGCUCCACCAGUUUCAGCACCGACUCUGAAUUCUUUGACAAAUACUGGACCUGACCCGGCUGCACCUCAGACCCUGCAGAGUCCGGCCUCCCUGUCCCAGGUUCAUCCUCAGGUGUCCCAGACCCAAACCCAGUCCUCUCUGACCCAGAGUGAGAGCCAGACCCACCCGUCUC